RNAcentral lists this ribosomal RNA (253 nucleotides) under uncultured bacterium. Its description in RNAcentral is "partial 16S ribosomal RNA". It matches the Rfam family "Bacterial small subunit ribosomal RNA", at positions 524 to 776 of the family's 1533-position model. The record is from RNAcentral.
UACGUAGGGUGCAGGCGUUAAUCGGAAUUACUGGGCGUAAAGUGUGCGCAGGCGGCCGCGCAAGUCGAGUGUGAAAUCCCCGAGCUUAACUUGGGAAUUGCGCUCGAAACUACGUGGCUGGAGUGUGGCAGAGGAAGGUGGAAUUCCACGUGUAGCGGUGAAAUGCGUAGAGAUGUGGAGGAACACCGAUGGCGAAGGCAGCCUUCUGGGCCAACACUGACGCUCAUGCACGAAAGCGUGGGGAGCAAACAGG